GAUCCUGGCUCAGGAUGAACGCUGGCGGCGUGCUUAACACAUGCAAGUCGAACGAAGCACUUUAACCUGAUUCUUCGGAUGAAGGUUUUUGUGACUGAGUGGCGGACGGGUGAGUAACGCGUGGGUAACCUGCCUCAUACAGGGGGAUAACAGUUAGAAAUGACUGCUAAUACCGCAUAAGACCACGGAGCCGCAUGGCUCAGUGGGAAAAACUCCGGUGGUAUGAGAUGGACCCGCGU
This 239-nucleotide ribosomal RNA is filed under the name uncultured bacterium. RNAcentral describes it as "partial 16S ribosomal RNA". It matches the Rfam family "Bacterial small subunit ribosomal RNA", at positions 15 to 236 of the family's 1533-position model. The record is from RNAcentral.